AACUGAUACUACCUGCGGGAACCUGCGGAGGGAUCAUUACAGAGUAACUCGAUCUUCGGAUCGGCUACCCGUCCUCAUGUCAUCCGUUUUGACGGGGUGGCUCGCGCCUCCCCCGAUCCACAAUUUCCCAGGAGGUGUUGCGUCUUCUCGCCUCGUGCAGAGACGUGACCGCCUGGGGUCUUUUUUAAGCAACGCUUGUGAAAAUGCUGAACGUCUGAACGACAGUCUCGAAUAGGGACG
This 240-nucleotide unclassified non-coding RNA is filed under the name soil metagenome. RNAcentral's name for it is "partial contains 5.8S ribosomal RNA, internal transcribed spacer 2, and large subunit ribosomal RNA". The record is from RNAcentral.